GACGAACGCUGGCGGCGUGCUUAACACAUGCAAGUCGAACGGAAAGGCCCUGCUUUUGUGGGGUGCUCGAGUGGCGCACGGGUGAGUAACACGUGAGUAACCUACCCUUGACUUUGGGAUAACUUCAGGAAACUGGGGCUAAUACCGGAUAGGAGCUCCUGCUGCAUGGUGGGGGUUGGAAAGUUUCGGCGGUGGGGGAUGGACUCGCGGCUUAUCAGCUUGUUGGUGGGGUAGUGGCUUACCAAGGCUUUGACGGGUAGCCGGCCUGAGAGCGUGACCGGCGACAUUGGGACUGAGAGACGGCCCAGACGCCUACGGGAGGCAGUAGGGGGGAAUAUUGCGCAAUGGGCGGAAGCCUGAUGCAGCAACGCCGCGUGCGGGAUGACGGCCUUCGGGUUGUAAACCGCUUUCGCCUGUGACGAAGCGUGAGUGACGGUAAUGGGUAAAGAAGCACCGGCUAACUACGUG
This 468-nucleotide ribosomal RNA is filed under the name uncultured bacterium. Its description in RNAcentral is "partial 16S ribosomal RNA". It matches the Rfam family "Bacterial small subunit ribosomal RNA", at positions 28 to 507 of the family's 1533-position model. The record is from RNAcentral.